This 433-nucleotide ribosomal RNA is filed under the name uncultured bacterium. Its description in RNAcentral is "partial 16S ribosomal RNA". It matches the Rfam family "Bacterial small subunit ribosomal RNA", at positions 29 to 507 of the family's 1533-position model. The record is from RNAcentral.
AGCGAACGCUGGCGGCAGGCCUAGCACAUGCAAGUCGAACGGACCCUUCGGGGUUAGUGGCGGACGGGUGAGUAACACGUGGGAACGUGCCUUUAGGUUCGGAAUAGCUCCUGGAAACGGGUGGUAAUGCCGAAUGUGCCCUUCGGGGGAAAGAUUUAUCGCCUUUAGAGCGGCCCGCGUCUGAUUAGCUAGUUGGUGAGGUAACGGCUCACCAAGGCGACGAUCAGUAGCUGGUCUGAGAGGAUGACCAGCCACACUGGGACUGAGACACGGCCCAGACUCCUACGGGAGGCAGCAGUGGGGAAUCUUGCGCAAUGGGCGAAAGCCUGACGCAGCCAUGCCGCGUGAAUGAUGAAGGUCUUAGGAUUGUAAAAUUCUUUCACCGGGGACGAUAAUGACGGUACCCGGAGAAGAAGCCCCGGCUAACUUCGUG